GGAUCAACAAAGUGAUUGGCAGUUCCCAAUUGAUAUCAUGUUUAACAAAUUAUUGUUGCCCAAUGAUGACAGCCAUGCUACUGCCUAUUCAGUUUACAACUUAGUUCUGAAGAUG
This 115-nucleotide small RNA is filed under the name Chaetoceros dichaeta. RNAcentral describes it as "Mitochondrion-encoded tmRNA". The record is from RNAcentral. Lineage: Eukaryota; Bacillariophyta; Thalassiosirophyceae; Chaetocerotales; Chaetocerotaceae.